This 253-nucleotide ribosomal RNA is filed under the name uncultured bacterium. Its description in RNAcentral is "partial 16S ribosomal RNA". It matches the Rfam family "Bacterial small subunit ribosomal RNA", at positions 524 to 776 of the family's 1533-position model. The record is from RNAcentral.
UACGAAGGGGGCUAGCGUUGUUCGGAAUUACUGGGCGUAAAGCGCGCGUAGGCGGAUUUGCCAGUCAGGGGUGAAAUGCCAGGGCUUAACCUUGGAACUGCCUUUGAUACUGCAAGUCUGGAGUACGGGAGAGGUGAGUGGAAUUCCGAGUGUAGAGGUGAAAUUCGUAGAUAUUGGGAAGAACACCGGUGGCGAAGGCGGCUCACUGGCUCAUUACUGACGCUCAGGCGCGACAGCGUGGGGAUCAAACAGG